Non-coding RNA from Caenorhabditis japonica, 46 nucleotides. The record is from Rfam. NCBI's taxonomy places the organism in Eukaryota, Metazoa, Nematoda, Chromadorea, Rhabditida, Rhabditidae.
CCAACGGCCCUCUUUAGGGCCACAAAAAUCCCCUUCAAUGUGCAAU